UUUUUUUUUUUGUUUGUUUUUGGUUUUGAUUAGUUAAUUGAGUUGAGGAAUUGAAAUUAAGCUGGAGGAGAAGCUGAUUGAAUUGUUUUCUUAGGUUUACAAAGCGUUCCGUUGAAUUUGUUUUAUUUAUUUAUUAUUUUUUGUAAUUUUAGUUAGAUUAUAUGGUUGGAUGAGUUUGAUCAAGGUUUAGCUGGUUUUGGUUGUGAUUUGGACUUGGAUUAUGGAGCAAUGGUGAGGUGGUGGAGUUGAGAAAUUUGAAAUUAAGCUGAAGGAGAAGAUAGUUCUUGCUGAAUGAAUUGUUAUCGUUUCGUUUAGUUUGACUUUUGGUCAAUUUGUUUUUAUUAUUUUUUGUAAUUUUAGUAAAUUAUAUGCUUGGUUGAGUUUAAUCAAGGUUAAGCGGGCUUCGGCUGUGAUGUGGACUUGGACUAUGGAGCAAUGGUUAGGUGAUUGAGUUGAAAAAUUGAAAUUGAGCUGGAGGAGAAGAUAGUUCAUGUUGAAUGAUUUUUUUUUUUUUUUUUUUUUUUUUUUUUUUUUUUUUUUCUAAUUUUGAAACAAUUGGGAUAGACAACAAUCAGGUUUAUUAAGCAUUUCUUUCUUUUAGUUCGAGUUUUGGUGAAUUUGUUUUUAUUAUUUGUUGUAAUUUUAGUUAAAUUAUAUGCUUGGUUGAGUUUAGGGACGGACCUAGGAUUUAAAGCUAGGGGGGACCGAAGUAUAAGGGGAAAAAAAUUGUGUGAAAUUUUUAUUAUAUUAUUAAUGUCUUUUUAUCUUUGUUACUCACCCACGGCCCCAAACACACGAUUACUUACCCACUACCAGCAUUAUGAAUUUUUUUGAGCAUUCAAAACUCACACUACCAUGCCACUGAUAAUAUCAAAAACACAUUAAAAACAUCCAUAUUUCAAAAGACAACAUUGGCAAUGGAAAAUUAUUAUUUACCUAUCACCAAAAAAAAAAAAAAAAAAAAGACAAAAUUAACCAGCAAUACCCAAACUUCUUAAAUCCUAAAUGGACCUAAUCCAAAAGCCAAGCAAGCAACAUUACAAAAUCCAUAUAACGACAAACAUAGACCCCACAAAACGACAUUAUGAAUUUAUAAUGUGCUACUAAAACACUUUUCCUAACUUUAGGAUUUUUUUUUUCCUGAAUUACUAGCCUCUGUAAGUUUGUUUGUGCAUGUUCCUAUUGUUGCCCCCACUACCAACAAACAGUUAAACAAAUAAAAUAUUCUUUACAUUCCCUACUCUCUGUAUAUAAUAUAAUUUACUCAGCAAAAAUAAUUUUCAGUCUCCGAGAGACAGACUCACAAACACAAUCACAGAUUCACAGAUUAAUUAUUCAUAUAUUCAAUUCACAAUCAUCCUCAGCAAAAAAAAAAAAAAAAAAAAAAACCCCACAAUCACAUUUUCACGCAAACUAUAAACAUAUGGUGUGGAGAAAGAGCAUCAGAGAAAAAUCAUAUCAGUAUUAGGUUUUGAAAGUGAGAAUAAAUACUUGAAAUUGGGUAGAUUGGGAUGGAGGUUGCAGAGGCCAGCAUUGGAGGUGGGGUGGGCAGCUGGAGAAGCUGGCGGCAUGGGCAGUGGGUAGGUGGCCGGUGGUUGAUGCUUGAUUAUCUCUCGGUCUCUCCUCUGUCUUCUUCUUCUUCUUCUUCUUCUUUUUUUUUUUUUUUUUUUUUUUUUUUUUUUUUUAAAUUUUAAAUUUGGAAUUAGGUUAGACGGCUUAUCUUUCCUUGUUGGGUUGGGGCCUGGGCUGAUAUGUUCUUGGAGGGGAGGGGGCCCAAUGGCCCAAACAUGAUUUUAAUACCCAAUUUACCUACUUUUUUUUUUUUGGGGUCGGGGGGGUCUGGGCCGGGCCCCCCUUUGGUUCCGUACCUGGUUGAGUUUGAUCAAGGUUAAGCAUGUUUUGGUUGUGAUAUGGACUUGGAUUAUGGAGCAAUGGUAGGUGAUUGAGUUGAGAAAUUGAAAUUAAGCUGGAGGAGAAGAUAGUUCAUGUUGAAUUAAUUGCUAUCUAAUUUUGAAACAAUUUGGAUAGACAACAAGUAGGUUUAUGAAGCAUUUCUUUCUUUUAGUUCGAGUUUUGGUGAUUUCUUAAAUUAUUUAUUGUAAUUUUAGUAAAUUAUAUGCUUUGUUUGUAUUCUUUUCUUUGCUGUGAGUUUACAAUUGUAAACAUAUUGCACUUUUGCUAUCAAUAAAACUUUUAUUACCUAUCCAAAAAAAAAAAAAAAAAAAAAUAGAGUUGAGAAAUUGAAAUUAAGUUGGAGGAAAAGAUAGUUCAUGCAGAAUGAAUUGUUUUCUAAGGUUUAUGAAGCGUGUCUUUUAGUUAGAGUAUUGGUGAAUUUGUUUUUAUUAUUUGUUGUAAUUUUAGUUAAAUUAUAUGCUCGGUUGAGUUUGAUCAAGGUUAAGCUGCUUUUGGACGUGAUUGAGAUGAGAAGUUAAAAUUAAGUUGGAGGAGAAGAUAGUUCAUGUUGAAUGGAUUGCUAUCUAAUUUUGAAACAAUUUGGAUAGACAACUAGAAGGUUUAUGAAGCAUUUCUUUCUUUUAGUUUGAGUUUUUUUUGGUGAAUUUGUUUUUAUUUAUUUAUUAUUUUUUGUAAUUUUAGUAAAAUUAUAUGAUUGGUUGAGUUUGAUCAAGGUUAAGCUGGUUUUGGUUGUGAUAUGGACUUGGAUUAUGGAACAAUGGUUAGGUGAUUGAAUUGAAAAGUUGAAAUUAAGCUGGAGGAGAAGAUUGUUAAUGUUGAUGAAUUGUUUUCUAAUUUUGAAACAAUUGGAAUAGACAACAA
Quercus robur (English oak) is the source of this 2775-nucleotide long non-coding RNA. RefSeq lists it as uncharacterized. NCBI's taxonomy places the organism in Eukaryota, Viridiplantae, Streptophyta, Magnoliopsida, Fagales, Fagaceae. The record is from RefSeq and is a predicted model, not a curated record. The transcript is spliced from 2 exons.